UACGUAGGUGGCAAGCGUUGUCCGGAUUUACUGGGCGUAAAGCGCGUGUAGGCGGCCACGCAGGUCCGUUGUGAAAACUAGAGGCUCAACCUCUAGACGUCGACGGAAACCGUGUGGCUAGAGUCCGGAAGAGGAGAGUGGAAUUCCUGGUGUAGCGGUGAAAUGCGCAGAUAUCAGGAAGAACACCAAUGGCGAAGGCAGCUCUCUGGGACGGUACUGACGCUGAGACGCGAAAGCGUGGGGAGCGAACAGG
RNAcentral lists this ribosomal RNA (253 nucleotides) under uncultured bacterium. RNAcentral describes it as "partial 16S ribosomal RNA". It matches the Rfam family "Bacterial small subunit ribosomal RNA", at positions 524 to 776 of the family's 1533-position model. The record is from RNAcentral.